This 983-nucleotide ribosomal RNA is filed under the name Exiguobacterium sp. MBG53. RNAcentral describes it as "bacterial SSU rRNA". It matches the Rfam family "Bacterial small subunit ribosomal RNA", at positions 453 to 1434 of the family's 1533-position model. Lineage: Bacteria; Bacillati; Bacillota; Bacilli; Caryophanales. The record is from RNAcentral.
GGGAAAUGCUCGCGCCUUGACGGUACCUUACUGGAAAGCCACGGAUAACUUCGUGCCAGCAGCAGCGUGUAUACGUAGGUGCAGCGUGUUGUCCGGUAUUAUUGGGUGUAAAGCGCGCGCAGGCCGUCUCAUAAGUAUGAUGUGAAAGCCCCCGGCUCAACCGGGGAGGGCCAUUGGAAACUGGAAGGCUUGAGUACAGAAGAGAAGAGUGGAAUUCCACGUGUAGCGGUGAAAUGCGUAGAGAUGUGGAGGAACACCAGUGGCGAAGGCGACUCUUUGGCCUAUAACUGACGCUGAGGCGCGAAAGCGUGGGGAGCAAACAGGAUUAGAUACCCUGGUAGUCCACGCCGUAAACGAUGAGUGCUAGGUGUUGGGGGGUUUCCGCCCGUCAGUGCUGAAGCUAACGCAUUAAGCACUCCGCCUGGGGAGUACGGUGGCAAGGCUGAAACUCAAAGGAAUUGACGGGGACCCGCACAAGCGGUGGAGCAUGUGGUUUAAUUCGAAGCCACGCGAAGAACCUUACCAACUCUUGAAAUGCGGUUUUCCGGUACAGAGAUUACCUUUUCCCUUCGGGGACAAUGGUGACAGGUGGUGCAUGGUUGUCGUCAGCUCGUGUCGUGAGAUGUUGGGUUAAGUCCCGCAAGGAGCGCAACCCUUGUCCUUAGUUGCCAGCAUUCAGUUGGGCACUCUAGGGAGACUGCCGGUGACAAACCGGAGGAAGGUGGGGAUGACGUCAAAUCAUCAUGCCCGUUAUGAGUUGGGCUACACACGUGCUACAAUGGACGGUACAAAGGGCAGCGAGACCGCGAGGUGGUGUCAUUCCCAGAAGGCCUUUCUCAGUUCGGAUUGCAGGUCACAACUCGCCUGUAUGUAGUCGGAUUCGCUGGUAAUCGCAGGUCAGCCUACUGCGGUGAGUUCGUUUCCGUGUCUUGUACACACCGCCCGUCAUUCCACGAUCGUUUGCAACCCCCGAAGUCGGAGAG